Molecule: non-coding RNA, 941 nt
Organism: Schizosaccharomyces pombe (fission yeast)
Lineage: Eukaryota; Fungi; Ascomycota; Schizosaccharomycetes; Schizosaccharomycetales; Schizosaccharomycetaceae
Source: the annotation of a GenBank genome assembly
GGCAACAAAAUUACAAACACUCCGAAGACGAGCGACACAAUAAGUGCAAGAGGCAUGUGAUGUAGAAUCAGGUCGAGAACGAAAUUCGAAUUGUCGUAAAGGCUGGGUACGGUUAAACCCACAUAAAGAGCAAGGUUGUGACGAUAGGAGGGAAGUAGAAUGAAGCGGGUUGAUGAUCAAGGAUGAUUCUAAUAUAGCAGUGAACACAGAUCGACGUGUUAGCCAUGAUAAACCUGAAGCAUGAUCUAACCGUAAAGUGGGUUCAAUGUCUUCUUCUAAACAACGUUUAAAAAAGGAGAAGUCACGUAGAUUUCUUGAUAUUAAAGGAAUUGAGUUAGAAGAAGAACUAGGAUUUUGCGAUAGAGUGGAUGAUCUUGCAGUAGAUGGUGUAACAGUGUUACGUGGAGGAGUGUUAGAAUAAUUUGCUGAUGUUGAAUAUGCACUUCUUGAUCUCGCAAACUUCAUAGGAUAAUUAAAAAAGGCAUGAAAUUCAAGAAAACACGGAUUCAUAUAAUUCAUGGCAGAGGCGGAAGGGUGAGUUGGGUGGGGAUUAUGAAUAAUAGAUGACGAAGGGGAAUCUGAAAUAAUUAAAGGGGAUCUAGGAGGAGAUGUACUGCUAGAUCGAAUCUGAGUAGAAAAUCGAAUUAACUGGUUUUGAUUGUUAUUUGUGCGAUGACCGAGACUUGAAGCUGAUCGACGUUCGUCGGAACCCUCGAUAAAAGUUGGAUUGGGAAAUGUAGCUGGCCUUUCUCCUGAUAUAUUCAAAUGUUUAUCACUUGAAAUUUCUUUAGCAUCUAAAGAUUCACGAGCACUCGUUCCAGUUAGAAUGUCAAGUCCACUAGUUGAUGAAGCAAAACUACCAACAGAUACAUUAUCGGCAACGAAAGAGGUGGUCCUUGAAAGUGGUGGAUGCAAGGCAUUAUUUUGUUCGUGUGAGUCGG